This 238-nucleotide ribosomal RNA is filed under the name uncultured bacterium. Its description in RNAcentral is "partial 16S ribosomal RNA". It matches the Rfam family "Bacterial small subunit ribosomal RNA", at positions 116 to 354 of the family's 1533-position model. The record is from RNAcentral.
UGUAGAGAAUCUGACCCUGUACUGGGGGACAACAGAGGGAAACGUUCUGCUAAUACCCCAUAUGAGCGUACCUGCGAUGGUAUUCUUGAAAGUUCCGGCGGUACAGGAUGAGUCUGCAUCUGAUUAGCUAGUUGGUGGUGUAAUGGACUACCAAGGCGACGAUCAGUAGCUGGGUUUGAGAGGAUGAUCAGCCACAAUGGGACUGAGACACGGCCCAUACUCCUACGGAAGGCAGCAG